AGUCCUUACCCACCUUUGAAUUGACUGACUAAUAUGGAGCUCUACAUAUCGCUCUCUCCUAGAAGUCUCUGGAGCUCCCAUGGUUUGGUGGUUGUUAGUGGUUGGCUCCUCACUUGCUUUUGGCCUUUGUUUAUUGAGGAAACAUCGUGGUUCGCUAUUAUUGACUCUUUGGUUCAUCCCUGUGUGACAUCUCCGUUGUUUGCCUUGGCACACUGGCGAUAGUGGCGGCAGCUUGAAGUGCCUCAUUGUUCUUACUUGUGUUGUGGCUGCCCUAACUAGGGUUUGGGUGUUUGGGCCAGACUUGUCGACUGAGUUGAGAAGCUUUUACUUUAAGCCAUGGUUUCAUUAGGUUCUAGGCCUCUGGUCUCUGUUAACUCUAUAGUCAUGGGUUGAGAGAGGAUGGAUUUAAACUUGAAAAAUUUACCUAUCCAGGGCCUUAAGAGGAUGCAAAGAGAAGGAUGGAUUUAAGCUUGUUUAAUUUCUUUCAGAAGCUACUGUUCUGGUCAGCAUGCUGUUCAUUUCAUCCGUCACUUUCCUUCUUGCACAUCUUGUUACUUCACCAUACUUAGUUGUAUAAAUUAUUCAUUUACUAUUA
Molecule: long non-coding RNA, 595 nt
Organism: Hevea brasiliensis (rubber tree)
Lineage: Eukaryota; Viridiplantae; Streptophyta; Magnoliopsida; Malpighiales; Euphorbiaceae
Exons: 2
Source: RefSeq, a predicted model, not a curated record